Carica papaya (papaya) is the source of this 3191-nucleotide non-coding RNA. Lineage: Eukaryota; Viridiplantae; Streptophyta; Magnoliopsida; Brassicales; Caricaceae. The record is from RefSeq and is a predicted model, not a curated record.
UAAAAGAGGAGAGAGGGGAGCGGAUGCAGAACGUCAGGGAGAGAGAGAGAGAGAGAGAGAGAGAGAGAGAGAGAGAGAGAGAGAGAGAGAGAGGGAGAGUUUGAGAGAGAAAAGAAAUUCGUGAAGAGGGCUCGCGAAGACGAUAACCUCUGGGCUGAGAGCAGGGUGAACGAGCGCUGCGGUAGCGAGCCGUAAGAAAGAUGAGCAGAGCAUUCCUUCCGCCGGCCUUUAUAGGAGUAAGGGAGUGUAGUGAGAUAGAUAGACGUCCAAUCAGCUAGUUGCUCGGCCUUAGUCUUGUGCGGAUCUCAUAAUUCAAUCAACCCCUUCGAUCCAAUCAAUCGAUCGAUCAGGAGGCUAGAUCCCAUGGAGGCUUUUCUGUCUUAAAUUGCCAUCCUCUGUGAAUCUCAUCUGCUGGGUCUUUUCCUUCUUAAAUUUGCAAAUUGGUUCUUGUCAUUUAUUUCAGCAUCUCGAUCUAACGUUUGUUUCUUUCCAUGCUCUGUUCAGAUUGCUUGAUGUCAAGCAAGGACAGAAUAAAGAAGAGAAGACACGGACACUGAUCUCCAGAAAUUCAUUAAGAGGUACCGCUAAACUGGAGAGAACAUUUCCGCUGAGAAAUUAUAACCGUUUGAAGCGUCCAAAACUCGCGAAGAAAUUAAAAGAGGGAGAGAGAGAGAGAGAGAGGGAGGGCUCGCGAAGACGAUAACCUCUGGGCUGAGAGCAGGGUGAACGAGCGCUGCGGUAGCCGUAAGAAAGAUGAGCAGAGCAUUCCUUCGGUCGGCCUUUUAUAGGAGUAAGGGAGUGUAGUGAGAUAGAUAGACGUCCAAUCAGCUAGUUGCUCGGCCUUAGUCUUGUGCGGAUCUCAUAACUCAAUCAACCCCUUCGAUCCAAUCAAUCGAUCGAUCAAGAGGCUAGAUCCCAUGGAGGCUUUUCUGUCUUAAAUUGCCAUCCUCUGUGAAUCUCAUCUGCUGGAUUGCUUGAUGUCAAACAAGGACAGAAUAAAGAAGGGAAGACAGUACUCUAUAUGGUAUUUGAGUACAUGGACACUGAUCUCCAUAAAUUCAUUAAGAGAUCAUCGUGGGAGAAAAUUGGAGAAAACUGAAGCUUCCAUUAAAAUGUGGGAGUUGAAAUAAAAAGGAACACUUUCUACAAACUAUUUGACGUCAUACUGUGAGUUUGUGCAACAAUAUCAUCGUGGGAGAAAAUUGGAGAAAACUGAAGCUUCCAUUAAAAUGUGGGAGUUGAAAUAAAAAGGAACACUUUCUACAAACUAUUUGACGUCAUACUGGAGAUCAAAUAGGCAUAAAUGGUGCUUAUGUUGGAGCGGGUGGAACCUAUUGAUGUACAGGAGUUGAAAUUAGAAGGAAAGCAUUUUAAGUUUUAGUGAAUUGCUCAUAUUGGGUCCUUCUUUUUGCCCUAUAUGCUUCCUUUUUGAAAUUUUCAUUUCUUUUAGGUUUAAAAUUUACAUCGUCAUAUUAACUCAAGAUGUAUUCUUUGUUGACUAAUUAGGUGGUGCCAAAUGAUCGAGGGCGGUGCAUACAUACAUACGUAUAUUCGUAAUUACACACACAUGGAUACAUACAUAAUACAUAAAGAGAGCACUUGGGCAUUGAUUUCAAGAAAUUGAUUAAGAACUAUCGCUAAAACAGUCAAGGCAUGAACAAUUUCUGAUGUUACGUUUAUGUUUUCAUAACUUUCAAAAUUUAAAAUUGAUACCAAGAGUUUUAACGAAUAUGUUCCAGAGGUGUUGCUCUUUAAAUGAAGAGGUGUUGCUUUUGCCAUACGCAUAAAUCAGACACAGAACUUGUUUUCUAUCUUGCACUUUUUCUUCGUCGCAGGGACCUUAAGCUUUACUUCUUUAUGGAUCGACAGACAAUAUCGGUUAUGAUAGUAGAUCUGAGGUUAGCUCGGGUAUUUGCUCUUUAAAUGAAGAAAUACACUCUUGAGGUAAAGUUUAUUUUUUUGUUAACUGUCUUACUGUAUGCAAAAUAUAACAUUUUCAAAUGUUGGUCAACUCGGGGUAUUUUUAUAGAUUUUUGCUUUAUGGUACAAGACACCCGAAAUCCUUUUAGGUGUUAUCUGUUAGUUCAAUUGUAGUAUAUAUGUGAUUUGUUAGUUGUAUAUUUGGUGCACAUCAUUCCUUAGUUUAUUUUUUAACCCUUUUGCAUUUGUAUGUUUGAUUAAUUGUUCUUUCUAAUUCUUAAUUUUAGUAGCGUUUGUCACUAACCAAACACUUUUACUGGAGAUUUUGAAAUCCAACAACUCUUACAUAUUUGAAGGUAACACGGCUAGUUUGAUAACGAAAAGAAAAGAAAGGCAAUUCAUUCUGGAAAGUAAAAGAGAAAGAAAGACUUUGAAAGGGAGAUCAAAUAGGCAUAAAUGGUGCUUAUGUUGGAGCGGGUGGAACCUAUUGAUGUACAGGAGUUGAAAUUAGAAGGAAAGCAUUUUAAGUUUUAGUGAAUUGCUCAUAUUGGGUCCUUCUUUUUGCCCUAUAUGCUUCCUUUUUGAAAUUUUCAUUUCUUUUAGGUUUAAAAUUUACAUCGUCAUAUUAACUCAAGAUGUAUUCUUUGUUGACUAAUUAGGUGGUGCCAAAUGAUCGAGGGCGGUGCAUACAUACAUACGUAUAUUCGUAAUUACACACACAUGGAUACAUACAUAAUACAUAAAGAGAGCACUUGGGCAUUGAUUUCAAGAAAUUGAUUAAGAACUAUCGCUAAAACAGUCAAGGCAUGAACAAUUUCUGAUGUUACGUUUAUGUUUUCAUAACUUUCAAAAUUUAAAAUUGAUACCAAGAGUUUUAACGAAUAUGUUCCAGAGGUGUUGCUCUUUAAAUGAAGAGGUGUUGCUUUUGCCAUACGCAUAAAUCAGACACAGAACUUGUUUUCUAUCUUGCACUUUUUCUUCGUCGCAGGGACCUUAAGCUUUACUUCUUUAUGGAUCGACAGACAAUAUCGGUUAUGAUAGUAGAUCUGAGGUUAGCUCGGGUAUUUGCUCUUUAAAUGAAGAAAUACACUCUUGAGGUAAAGUUUAUUUUUUUGUUAACUGUCUUACUGUAUGCAAAAUAUAACAUUUUCAAAUGUUGGUCAACUCGGGGUAUUUUUAUAGAUUUUUGCUUUAUGGUACAAGACACCCGAAAUCCUUUUAGGUGUUAUCUGUUAGUUCAAUUGUAGUAUAUAUGUGAUUUGUUAGUUGUA